GCAGAUGACCGGUAGUACCAGCUGGUGGUUGCUCAAGGCGACAACAGCCGCCUCUGCCACCAGUAUGGUGACAUCACCUCCAUUAUCUACUGUGUCACCAUCGGCUGCUCUAGCGACAGUUUUGUGUACUACUCAACCACCCCCUACUACGUCACCAACAACUGCUCUGGUUGCUACUCCACCACCCUUACAACUUCUAGAUACAUCUGUGGUUGUACUCCAUCGCGUGGUAUACAUGUUGGGAGUCCAACAACUGAGGCUUCGACGCGAUUGGACCACCAUCACCUACCAUUAGUAUGAUGACUAGAUAUGGGCCACGCCUCUUCGAGAUUGAUCCAACAAAAAUGGCCAAUUCAUCCAAUCACAUGCUGCUUAUCCACCAUGAUCCAAAUAUUUUCUUCUGCAUUUACAUCCGAGUGGACACAAUUGGAAGAGUGUGACAUAUGACGUUGUUCUCUUCUACUAGGAUGAGUUCAUGAAAGUUUAACAUUGGAACUCUCGGCUCGAUACCAUGGUAUAUCAAAAGUGGUCUGCACAGGCUGACAUCUAGUAUAGUGACAGACUAUACAAGUGAAGGGCCAAGCGUUAGAGACCGAAUAGAGUUAGAGAGGAGAUGUGGUUAGAGAGGAGGUGUGGAGUAGCUAAAUGAAUUACUUGUCCUCUAAUUAGUUUUAGAGGAAGCAUGUCAUUGCCUCCAAGAAUCAGGGCAACUAGACUGGGCCGAGGGAUCAAGAUCAGUUGAACGAGCCAAGAGGAUGGUCGAUAUCAUCAGCUGGUAAAGAUUGUCUCUCAGCCAGCUGAGGAAUCCACAGAGCCACCAAAGUUGGACACUACGGAGUUAUUCCUCCAGGCGGAAGAAAUGAGAAGAAGCAAUGUGUCUAUAGCAUGGGUGCUAGGACACCCUCUUUCUUCAACCAUGGAUCAUCUUACAGCUCCACUGCCAGAUCCCAGACGAUAGAUGUCCCUUAUACUGUAGAGGCACAAGUCAUCGAGAUUGUACAACAGUAAGUGUGGGCGGCGGUUUUGGGCGCGCUCCCAAGUGUCUCUAGUGACUAUUGCACUACAAGGCUUUUCAAUCUAAUAGGAAUAUGCUAACUAACCAUAGAGACUAGCGUGGAGAUGAGAGUCGCCACCCAGGUAAUUCUCCGGGACACUUUGGGUGACGUUUCUCGAUUUUAUAAGGAAGCUUCGUCACAUUAAGAGAUGGAUCAA
Molecule: long non-coding RNA, 1212 nt
Organism: Ricinus communis (castor bean)
Lineage: Eukaryota; Viridiplantae; Streptophyta; Magnoliopsida; Malpighiales; Euphorbiaceae
Exons: 4
Source: RefSeq, a predicted model, not a curated record